Molecule: ribosomal RNA, 450 nt
Filed under: uncultured bacterium
Lineage: Bacteria
Description: bacterial SSU rRNA
Rfam family: Bacterial small subunit ribosomal RNA
Source: RNAcentral
UUCCAGACUCCUACGGGAGGCAGCAGUGGGGGAUAUUGCACAAUGGGGGGAACCCUGAUGCAGCGACGCCGCGUGGGUGAAGAAGUAUUUCGGUAUGUAAAGCCCUAUCGGCAGGGAAGAAAUUGGACGGUACCUGACUAAGAAGCCCCGGCUAACUACGUGCCAGCAGCCGCGGUAAUACGUAGGGGGCAAGCGUUAUCCGGAUUCACUGGGUGUAAAGGGAGCGUAGACGGCGACGCAAGUCUGGAGUGAAAGCCCGGGGCCCAACCCCGGGACUGCUCUGGAAACUGCGUCGCUGGAGUACGGGAGGGGCAGGCGGAAUUCCUGGUGUAGCGGUGAAAUGCGUAGAUAUCAGGAGGAACACCGGCGGCGAGGGCGGCCUGCUGGACCGUGACUGACGUUGAGGCUCGAGAGCGUGGGGAGCAAACAGGAUUAGAUACCCCCGUAACG